GACGAACGCUGGCGGCGUGCUUAACACAUGCAAGUCGAACGGAAAGGCCCUGCUUUUGUGGGGUGCUCGAGUGGCGAACGGGUGAGUAACACGUGAGUAACCUGCCCUUGACUUUGGGAUAACUUCAGGAAACUGGGGCUAAUACCGGAUAGGAGCUCCUGCUGCAUGGUGGGGGUUGGAAAGUUUCGGCGGUUGGGGAUGGACUCGCGGCUUAUCAGCUUGUUGGUGGGGUAGUGGCUUACCAAGGCUUUGACGGGUAGCCGGCCUGAGAGGGUGACCGGCCGCGUUGGGACUGAGAUACGGCCCAGACUCAUACGGGAGGCAGCAGUGGGGAAUAUUGCAGAAUGGGCGGAAGCCUGAUGCAGCAACGCCGCGUGCGGGAUGACGGCCUUCGGGUUGUAAACCGCUUUCGCCUGUGACGAAGCGUGAGUGACGGUAAUGGGUAAAGAAGCACCGGCUAACUACGUG
This 468-nucleotide ribosomal RNA is filed under the name uncultured bacterium. Its description in RNAcentral is "partial 16S ribosomal RNA". It matches the Rfam family "Bacterial small subunit ribosomal RNA", at positions 28 to 507 of the family's 1533-position model. The record is from RNAcentral.